RNAcentral lists this unclassified non-coding RNA (1711 nucleotides) under Hevea brasiliensis (rubber tree). Lineage: Eukaryota; Viridiplantae; Streptophyta; Magnoliopsida; Malpighiales; Euphorbiaceae. The record is from RNAcentral.
GCAAACCAACGUUGACUUGUAUUGACCCUGAACAUCAUUUUUUGACACGAUUAAACUGUCAGUUAAGAGAAUACAAAAAUCCAAAACAUUCACUAGAACUUAUGGAGUUUUGAACAAGUUACGCAAUAAACAGAACCACUGAAGCCUGGUACUUGGUGAUUCUAAAUUUUAAUACUUGAAACUAGUUGCAUCCCUAUGAUUGAUAAUAUUGACUUAUAUUGACCCUGAACAUCAUUGUUCAACAUGAUUAAAUCGUCAGUUAAGGCCACAUUCGGUAACGUUAGCUUUUUUGUUUUUUGUUCUUUUUUAGUUCAAAAAAAUUGCAAAUGUGUUCGGUUGAGACUCUGUUAUCAUUUUUUCUUUGUUUUCUCAAAACUGAUUUGAAAAGUAAAAACGCUUAAAAUGAAACCACAAAAAGUGGUUUCGUCCAUUUCAUUUUUUUUUUCUUUAAUUUUUUUCUCUUCCCUUCCAAGUUCUGACUCUCUACCUUCAAUUUCUCUGUUUCUUUCUCUUCUAUUUAUUGUCUCAUGCCAAGUCUUAUAAAUCUAACAUGCUUCUUCACCAUAUUUAAACUAUAAUUUCUUUCAGGAUCUCUCUUUAUUCUUCUUCAUCUAAAUCCAAGUGUUUAUGGAAAGAAGAAUCACUCUCUUACUUGGAGAUUAAAUCAAAACAUCAAAAAAAAAAAUUUCCUUCGAUUUCUUACAAAUGUCUCACAGUGGCUAGCUCAUUUCAAUAGAUAUGAUUUUUAUAUUUGAAAGGUUUUUCUUUUAUAUACGUAUGAUUAAAUGUUGGAGAGAUUGAAAUCCAUUGCGAGAAUAAAGUUUCUAUUUUGAUUGUGUAGUUUUCAUUUUGAAGGAAAAGAAAUUAAUAGUCUGUUAUGAUAUGUUUUCAACGUAUUCGAUAAAAUGACUUGAAAAGAAGACUUUUGUUACUGCAAAGAUUUCAAGGCUACAAAUGGUUGCUGCUCCCACAUUCAUGGUUAUUUUGUUCAACUAAAAAAACAGUUUAUAAAAAACAAACAAUAGAAAACUCUCAACCGUUUCAGUUUUCAAAAAAUUAAAAACCAAAAACAUGUGUUAACGAGCACAUCCUAAGCGAAUACAGAAAUCCAAUAUGCUCAGUAAAACUUUUGAAGUUUUGAACAAGUGAUGCAAUAAACAGAACAGCUGAUGCCUGGGGCUUGGUGAUACUAAAUUUUAAUACUUGAACCUAGGUGCAUCCCUAUGACUGAUAAUGCUGUUUGUUCAUAAAAAUGCCAAGUACAUAGCUAAGAUUAUAUUCAAGGGUAAAACUCAAAUAGCAAAUAUGAAGUAACACAGAUGAAGUGCAUCUCUAAUUGUUCUUGGACAUCUCCUAAUUGUGCUUGAUAAUUGUAUAUCAAUCAGCAACUUUGAACUCAAGACUACAUAAUCUAGAACAGUAUAACAAAAAGAUUAGUAAGGUUGCAGCUAUUCAACUACUAUGCAAACCAAAUUCCAAACAAGAAGCUAACAGAUGAAACAUAAGAUUUUAUUGCACGACAUUCUAUGACAAUAAACAAACAGAUAAAACAUAAGAUUUUACUUGGCAAACAUCCACAAUUAUGGAAUCAUUCCGAGCUUUGUGAUUUCUCCAACACUCAUCUGCAACCUCCUCAUCUGGACGACCACCCCAAUCCUUCAUUUCAAUGUAAGGUUUCUGCUUGACACGAUUCAAAUCUUCAUGCAGCCCA